UAUAUUAACGGUAAGAAAACAGUUAAAUUAAACAAAGUUUAUUAAAUAUUAAUAAAAAAGUGAAAUUUGAUCAUUAAUAAGAAAUCUAAUUUAAGCUGAAAUAUUGAAGCUGUGAAAGCCUUGAGGGAAACUGGGAUUAGAUACCCCAUUAUUCUUGGACAUAAAUAAAUUUUUGUUUACCAAAGUACUACGAAUUUAAUAUUUAAAACUUAAAGGGCUUGGCGGUAUUUUAGACCUCUUAGGGGAACCUGUCUCAUAACCGAUAAUCCACGCUAAACCUAACCUUUUUUUGCAUUCAACUUGUAUACCGUCGUCGUCAGGUAACUUUUCAGAAAAAAACAGUUAGCAAAUAAACUAUUAUAAGUUUUUACGUCAGAUCGAGGUGCAGUUAAUAAAAAGGAGAGGAUGGGUUACAAUUAUUAAGUUAUAACUACGAAAUAAUUACUUGAAAUAAAAUUAUAAAGGAGGACUUAAAAGUAAGAUAAAAUAUAUAAACAUUCUGAAUAAGGCUCUGAAAUGUGCACACAUCGCCC
This 533-nucleotide ribosomal RNA is filed under the name Murichorda rumphiusi. RNAcentral describes it as "partial 12S ribosomal RNA". The record is from RNAcentral. Lineage: Eukaryota; Metazoa; Mollusca; Gastropoda; Neogastropoda; Columbellidae.